AUGGCGUGCUACCCAUGCAACCCCUACCCCCACCUCCCACCCGGCACCACCAUUGUUGCUCUUGGCCCUCUGCGCGAGCAACGAGGAUACGUUGUUGUUGGAGGAGAACUCCCCAUGGUCUGCGACGAGUGGGCCAUUGCCACGCUGGUUCCUGGCAUCGCCCUGGAGGAAUUUCAUGGUGCAAACGCCAUGAUCACAAACUUCUUGGAGAACAGGGGAUGGAGAAUCAACUACUCAUCGCGCUGUGGUAUGGGAUCUGCACUUAUCCAGUUUACUACUGCAUGCUCUCGCGACUCUGCUAUUGCAAACAGCCCAUAUCAGAUUGGGGACUCUGUUCUUAGGAUUACUAGGCAAGAUCGAGGACUGAACUAUCGUAGCAUCACUUUUACUCAUGAUGUCUGGUUACUGUUGAUGAACUACCCACUUGAAUGCUGGGAUGUGAAUGUGAUUAGCCGUACUGUUGCACCCUAUGGUAGAUUUCUGAUUUGGAACAAAGAUCCCAGAGAUAAAACCAGAAUCAUUGUGAAAGUUAGAGUCAUUAAUCCUGAUACUUUACCUCUGAGCAUUGUGGUGCUGCGCAAUCUUGAUGAUAUUGGCUAUGGUGGUUCAUGGACAUACCCAACUUACAUUAUGUCCAGAGAAAUCAUUGGGCAGCAGGGAGGGGAUGAAGAUCCUCAGCCCCCGGAUGGAGGAAACCCUCACCCUCUGCCCCAUGUGCAUGGUGGGUUUUGGCAUGAUGAGGUCCUUGGCAACAUUCCAAUGGAACAAGUGGUUGUUAACCCCCACAAUGAAAACCUGGGUGCCCCAUAUGAGGAUGUUCAUGCUGCUGAGGGCUAUUUCAAUGUGGCAGAAAUCCAGGAACAAUUUCAGGUUGCUAUUAAUGAAAACUUACCUGACAAUGCUCCAGCUGUUAACAAUGAGGCUCCCCAUAUUGCUGCUGUAGAUGCUCCUGCUCCUGUGAUUAAGGAUCUGAAUCUCAACGUGUGUGCUGAUACAAAUGUUCAAGUUGAUGCUGCCCUUGUAGAAGCGGUGCAAACCAUUCCUUCAAUUGAAGAGGAUUUCAUCCCCUGUACCUAUGGCAGACAGCCCUGUUUUCUCUCCUCAAAACGCCAGCAUGAACUAUAA
This 1125-nucleotide ribosomal RNA is filed under the name Triticum aestivum (bread wheat). Its description in RNAcentral is "partial small subunit ribosomal RNA". The record is from RNAcentral. Lineage: Eukaryota; Viridiplantae; Streptophyta; Magnoliopsida; Poales; Poaceae.